Molecule: unclassified non-coding RNA, 251 nt
Filed under: Hevea brasiliensis (rubber tree)
Lineage: Eukaryota; Viridiplantae; Streptophyta; Magnoliopsida; Malpighiales; Euphorbiaceae
Source: RNAcentral
GGUUGUUCUUCUGUGGGAGUUGGUGCAUUUUCUGAGAAUGGUCCAUUCAGACCUAGAGGACAAGUUCUUGUUAAGAAUGAACACAGUUGGAAUAAAGAGGCAAAUAUGUUGUACUUAGAGUCUCCAGUUGGGGUUGGCUUCUCUUAUUCAACUAAUACAUCUUCCUAUGAGACUGUUAAUGAUGAGAUAACAGCCAGGGACAAUGUUGUUUUCUUGCAACGCUGGUUUAACAAAUUCCCACAGUAUAGAGA